GAUCCUGGCUCAGGACGAACGCUGGCGGCGUGCUUAACACAUGCAAGUCGAACGAAAAGAGGGAAAGAGCUUGCUCUUUCCGGAAUUGAGUGGCAAACGGGUGAGUAACACGUAAACAACCUGCCUUCAGGAUGGGGACAACAGACGGAAACGACUGCUAAUACCGAAUAAGUUCCAAGAGCCGCAUGGCCCAUGGAAGAAAAGGUGGCCUCUACCUGUAAGCUAUCGCCUGAAGAGGUUGGUUGC
RNAcentral lists this ribosomal RNA (246 nucleotides) under uncultured bacterium. RNAcentral describes it as "partial 16S ribosomal RNA". It matches the Rfam family "Bacterial small subunit ribosomal RNA", at positions 15 to 237 of the family's 1533-position model. The record is from RNAcentral.